GUGGGUUUAGCUCAGUGGUAGAGUGUAUGCUUAGUGUGCACGAGGUCCUGGGUUCAAUCCCCAGUCCUGCC
RNAcentral lists this transfer RNA (71 nucleotides) under Camelus bactrianus (Bactrian camel). It matches the Rfam family "tRNA". From Rfam's summary of the family: Transfer RNA (tRNA) molecules are approximately 80 nucleotides in length. RNAcentral also lists the same sequence under 2 other names. Lineage: Eukaryota; Metazoa; Chordata; Mammalia; Artiodactyla; Camelidae. The record is from Rfam by way of RNAcentral.